GAACUUCAACAAAAGGGAACAGAGACUGACUGACCCCCGACCCCCGCCACCGCAAGACAAUCCCUGAUGCAGAAUCAGACAAGCUGGGAGUUCUGGGUGGUGCAGAAAUUACUGCUGGAGAGAUGGCUCAGCAGCCUCUACUUCCUGAUCCACACAGAUGUAUGCAAACAACCUCGUGUUCUUGUCUUCACUCCUGUGAGCGGCUUUGCUCUAAUGUCUUCCCUGCUGUGAUCGACUGGACCCUCAAACCAUAAGCCAAAGCAAAUCCUUCCUCUCGUUGCCAUGUGCCAGUCAUUUGGUCAAAGCAAUGAAAACAGAACCUAACAAGGCAAGUGUUAAAACUCCCCAUAGAAAAGCUUUCUCCCUAUAAAGUAGCACACAGCACUGAUUCUUUACAGCUGCCUCUCAAAGACAUGGAGCAUUCUAGCCAGGCCCCUUUCUGUUGCUCUCUUUAGGUCCCUCAACAGGAGA
This is a long non-coding RNA of Nannospalax galili (Upper Galilee mountains blind mole rat), 471 nucleotides long. RefSeq lists it as uncharacterized. The transcript has 3 exons. The record is from RefSeq and is a predicted model, not a curated record. NCBI's taxonomy places the organism in Eukaryota, Metazoa, Chordata, Mammalia, Rodentia, Spalacidae.